UGUGACUAUAUUUACAAUCAA
Molecule: non-coding RNA, 21 nt
Organism: Caenorhabditis elegans
Lineage: Eukaryota; Metazoa; Nematoda; Chromadorea; Rhabditida; Rhabditidae
Source: Ensembl